UACGGGGGGGGGCAAGCGUUGUUCGGAAUUACUGGGCGUAAAGGGCUCGUAGGCGGCCAACUAAGUCGGAUGUGAAAUCCCCAGGCUCAACCUGGGAACUGCAUCCGAUACUGGAUGGCUUGAAUUCGGGAGAGGGAUGCAGAAUUCCAGGUGUAGCGGUGAAAUGCGUAGAUAUCUGGAGGAAUACCGGUGGCGAAGGCGGCAUCCUGGACCGACAUUGACGCUGAUGAGCGAAAGCUAGGGGAGCAAACGGG
Molecule: ribosomal RNA, 254 nt
Filed under: uncultured bacterium
Lineage: Bacteria
Description: partial 16S ribosomal RNA
Rfam family: Bacterial small subunit ribosomal RNA
Source: RNAcentral